UACGAGUGGUGCUAGCGUUAAUCGGAGUUACUGGGCGUAAAGGGCGCGUGGGCGGAUAGUUAAGAUUGAUGUGAAAUCCCUGGGCUUAACCUAGGAACUGCAUUGAUUACUGAUUAUCUAGAGUACUGUAGAGGGUAGUGGAAUUUCCGGUGCAGCGGUGAAAUGCGUAGAGAUCGGAAGGAACACCAGUGGCGAAGGCGGCUACCUGGACAGAUACUGACGCUGAGGCGCGAGAGCGUGGGGAGCGAACAGG
This 253-nucleotide ribosomal RNA is filed under the name uncultured bacterium. RNAcentral describes it as "partial 16S ribosomal RNA". It matches the Rfam family "Bacterial small subunit ribosomal RNA", at positions 524 to 776 of the family's 1533-position model. The record is from RNAcentral.